This 532-nucleotide long non-coding RNA is filed under the name Serinus canaria (Common canary). RNAcentral's name for it is "lncRNA (ENSSCAG00000004839.1)". The record is from RNAcentral. Lineage: Eukaryota; Metazoa; Chordata; Aves; Passeriformes; Fringillidae.
GAAAUUUAAAAAUAUAACACUCCAGGUUUUUAUAUUGUUUUGCAUAAGACAGAAUGUGAUUAGAAACUGUUGAUUAACUGCAAUGUGCUACUCUCAGCUUCAUCAGAACAGCAUGGAAAAGACUUUGGGCUAAUGUAAAUAAGUCCAUGUGGAUUUAUCUUAUAAAGCUUGUAAGAGACAUUUGUAUUAAAAGAACAAAUAAUAGCCUGACACUGCCCAAAAAUUAUUUGCUAUUUCUGUUCACGCAUUCAUUGUAAUUUCAUUUUGUGCUGAGCAUUACUUGGAACUUCUCUCUUCAUUUUAAUUUCAGGGAAGAAUCAACAUCAAGAAAAAGAGAAUGAACUCUUGAACAUAAACUAUGAUAAGCUUGAGUGUCUUCUGUAUGACCCAUGAACAGCAAUGGAAAUCAAAGGAACAGAAAAUGAAACUGCAAAUUGCUAAACUAGAGAUGGCUAUCAAAUCUGAUUUAGCAGACAAAAAUGCAAUCCUUGACAAGAUCAAAGUAGAAAGAGCACAUGGGACAGGAGGUUAA